AGUGGCGAACGGGUGAGUAAUACGUGAGUAACCUACCCUUGACUCUGGGAUAAGCCUGGGAAACUGGGUCUAAUACUGGAUACGACAUGUCACCGCAUGGUGGUGUGUGGAAAGGGUUUUACUGGUUUUGGAUGGGCUCACGGCCUAUCAGCUUGUUGGUGGGGUAAUGGCUCACCAAGGCGACGACGGGUAGCCGGCCUGAGAGGGUGACCGGCCACACUGGGACUGAGACACGGCCCAGACUCNUACGGGAGGCAGCAGUGGGGAAUAUUGCACAAUGGGCGAAAGCCUGAUGCAGCGACGCCGCGUGAGGGAUGACGGCNUUCGGGUUGUAAACCUCUUUCAGCACGGAAGAAGCGAAAGUGACGGUACGUGCAGAAGAAGCGCCGGCUAACUACGUGCCAGCAGCCGCGGUAAUACGUAGGGCGCAAGCGUUGUCCGGAAUUAUUGGGCGUAAAGAGCUCGUAGGCGGUUUGUCGCGUCUGCUGUGAAANCCCGGGGCUUAACCCCGGGUGUGCAGUGGGUACGGGCAGACUUGAGUGCAGUAGGGGAGACUGGAAUUCCUGGUGUAGCGGUGAAAUGCGCAGAUAUCAGGAGGAACACCGAUGGCGAAGGCAGGUCUCUGGGCUGUUACUGACGCUGAGGAGCGAAAGCAUGGGGAGCGAACAGGAUUAGAUACCCUGGUAGUCCAUGCCGUAAACGUUGGGCACUAGGUGUGGGGAACAUUCCACGUUUUCCGCGCCGUCAUGAACGCAUUAAGUGC
This 763-nucleotide ribosomal RNA is filed under the name uncultured bacterium. Its description in RNAcentral is "bacterial SSU rRNA". It matches the Rfam family "Bacterial small subunit ribosomal RNA", at positions 94 to 867 of the family's 1533-position model. The record is from RNAcentral.